This 77-nucleotide transfer RNA is filed under the name Patescibacteria group bacterium. Its description in RNAcentral is "tRNA-His". It matches the Rfam family "tRNA". Rfam says of the family: Transfer RNA (tRNA) molecules are approximately 80 nucleotides in length. Their secondary structure includes four short double-helical elements and three loops (D, anti-codon, and T loops). The record is from RNAcentral.
GUGGUAGUAGCUCAGUUGGUUAGAGCGCCGCUCUGUGGAAGCGGAGGUCGCCGGUUCAAAUCCGGUCUAUCACCCCA